This 429-nucleotide ribosomal RNA is filed under the name bacterium. Its description in RNAcentral is "partial 16S ribosomal RNA". It matches the Rfam family "Bacterial small subunit ribosomal RNA", at positions 355 to 776 of the family's 1533-position model. The record is from RNAcentral.
UAGGGAAUCUUGGGCAAUGGGGGCAACCCUGACCGAGCAACGCCGCGUGAGUGAAGAAGGUUUUCGGAUCGUAAAGCUCUGUUGUAAGAGAAGAACGUGUGUGAGAGUGGAAAGUUCACACAGUGACGGUAACUUACCAGAAAGGGACGGCUAACUACGUGCCAGCAGCCGCGGUAAUACGUAGGUCCCGAGCGUUGUCCGGAUUUAUUGGGCGUAAAGCGAGCGCAGGCGGUUUAAUAAGUAUGAAGUUAAGGGCAGUGGCUUAACCAGUGUUCGCUUUGGUAACUGUUAAACUUGAGUGCAGAAGGGGAGAGUGGAAUUCCAGGUGUAGCGGUGAAAUGCGUAGAUAUAUGGAGGAACACCGGUGGCGAAAGCGGCUCUCUGGUCUGUAACUGACGCUGAGGCUCGAAAGCGUGGGGAGCAAACAGG